This is a long non-coding RNA of Bombus impatiens (common eastern bumble bee), 224 nucleotides long. RefSeq lists it as uncharacterized. NCBI's taxonomy places the organism in Eukaryota, Metazoa, Arthropoda, Insecta, Hymenoptera, Apidae. The transcript is spliced from 2 exons. The record is from RefSeq and is a predicted model, not a curated record.
ACUGCAAAUACUAAGAUACCAGAUAAGUUUGACAGUAUUAAUCAUGUUAGAUGCAAUGUAUUAAUACAAUACAAUUAUCAAGUAUUCAGCAUCCAACGUAUAUCUUUUUUUAUACUGUAAUUUUUUUCUUUGGUAAAAGCCAUCAAACUAUAGAAAAUUUACAAUGAAAGAAGAAUCUACGUACGUGUUAACAGCAAUCAUUAAAUAAAAGUAUUAGAAUUGAA